Molecule: ribosomal RNA, 503 nt
Filed under: uncultured bacterium
Lineage: Bacteria
Description: partial 16S ribosomal RNA
Rfam family: Bacterial small subunit ribosomal RNA
Source: RNAcentral
AUUGAACGCUGGCGGCAGGCUUAACACAUGCAAGUCGAGCGGGGUGAUGGUGCUUGCGCUAUCACUUAGCGGCGGACGGGUGAGUAAUGCUUAGGAAUCUGCCUAUUAGUGGGGGACAACAUCUCGAAAGGGAUGCUAAUACCGCAUACGUCCUACGGGAGAAAGCAGGGGAUCACUUGUGACCUUGCGCUAAUAGAUGAGCCUAAGUCGGAUUAGCUAGUUGGUGGGGUAAAGGCCUACCAAGGCGACGAGCUGUAGCGGGUCUGAGAGGAUGAUCCGCCACACUGGGACUGGAACACGGCCCAGACUCCUACGGGAGGCAGCAGUGGGGAAUAUUGGACAAUGGGCGGAAGCCUGAUCCAGCCAUGCCGCGUGUGUGAAGAAGGCCUUAUGGUUGUAAAGCACUUUAAGCGAGGAGGAGGCUACUUUAGUUAAUACCUAGAGAUAGUGGACGUUACUCGCAGAAUAAGCACCGGCUAACUCUGUGCCAGCCGCCGCGGUAA